GACGAACGCUGGCGGCGUGCCUAAUACAUGCAAGUUGAGCGAUGAAGAUUGGUGCUUGCACCAAUUUGAAGAGCAGCGAACGGGUGAGUAACGCGUGGGGAAUCUGCCUUUGAGCGGGGGACAACAUUUGGAAACGAAUGCUAAUACCGCAUAACAACUUUAAACAUAAGUUUUAAGUUUGAAAGAUGCAAUUGCAUCACUCAAAGAUGAUCCCGCGUUGUAUUAGCUAGUUGGUGAGGUAAAGGCUCACCAAGGCGAUGAUACAUAGCCGACCUGAGAGGGAGAACGGCCACAUUGGGACUGAGACACGGCCCAAACUCCUACGGGAGGGAGCAGUAGGGAAUCUUAGGCAAUGGACGAAAGGCUGAACGAGCAACGCCGCGUGAGUGAAGAAGGGCUUCGGAUCGGAAAACUCUGUUGGUAGAGAAGAAAGUUGGUGAGAGUGGAAAGCUCAUCAAGUGACGGUAACUACCCAGAAAGGGACGGCUAACUACGUG
Molecule: ribosomal RNA, 497 nt
Filed under: uncultured bacterium
Lineage: Bacteria
Description: partial 16S ribosomal RNA
Rfam family: Bacterial small subunit ribosomal RNA
Source: RNAcentral